This 2335-nucleotide ribosomal RNA is filed under the name Triticum aestivum (bread wheat). Its description in RNAcentral is "partial small subunit ribosomal RNA". The record is from RNAcentral. Lineage: Eukaryota; Viridiplantae; Streptophyta; Magnoliopsida; Poales; Poaceae.
UUAAAUAUCACGUAAAAAAUACCCCGUCCAAUUUCUCGGGGACAAUAAAAAGAACCGAAAAUAAAUCUUCCACGGUAUACUACCAUGAUUGAGAUAAGACGAUAGUGAAAGAUGUAGUGAGUGUAAAUUUAAACGAUUAUAUACAAAAAAAUUUGUACUAUAGAUGCAUAGACUCUUAAAAAUAAACACCCAUUCCUAAGACAUAUAACUAUACUACAUAUUCUUUCUUUCUUGAAUAACUGAAUAAACCUCUAAUCGAUACAUCAUAUCCUGACACUAAAGGACGUUUUUUAUCAUAUCCUGACACUAUAAAAUUCUUAAGUGUUCUUCAUAAACCAUACAGGUGUAAAUAUACUAUGUAUCAGUACGUAUAGAGUAGAGAAAAGGACUAGUUUACUUCGUGUCCAGCACCAUUGAAAUAGUCAAGGAAUGUAGAUAAACACAUUACAGCUAAGUCCUUUACUUUUUGAAUUACACCGACCUCAAGAUGCGCCUAAUUUAGAUUAAUAGGAAUAUAAAGUUGAGGUUACUGAGCCGGAGUGUACAUCUUACGCCAAAACCCGUACACAAAGCCAAGUAAGCCAAAGCUGCCUUAGUUUCCAGUCCUUUUUAUAUAUCCACAAUCAAGUAAUAGAAAAGUCCAAAGAAUUAAUAAGUAUGUAAACGUAGAUACAAUGUCCACAAUCGAAAGUACCGAUCCUAAAAAAAUCGUAUAAGUUUAGACAUAAUCUUAUUCCAAAGGGGGAACCUACAAGGAAUACAUAGGUAUAUAAUCUAAAAAACACACCAAGUAAACAACGUUUAUAUAUUUAUUAUUAGACUAACUGAUAUACGUCUAAACCGAACUUUAGAAGUUCGUCAGAGACUGUUCAACAUCCACUUCUUCUAGUACAGGAUCCUCAAUAUACGUGCACCUCAUGUAAAUAACAUACGUAAAACAAAUCUUCAUAAGUCAAAGUAUCGUAUUAGUUCACAAAAAGUUAUGAGAGAGAGAGUGUGUGUGUGUUUUACAGAAAUUAAAGACAAAAAAAUUACAUAACCGGAGACUUACUAGACGUACCAUAUAUAGAUAUAGCGACUUACUGGAGCUGAACAUGGAAACACCAAACGUUUGUGAUUUUGUACACAACGAUGUCUCAAUAGAAUUAAAAUUGCAACUAGCCACGUCCACCCAAGAGUACCAUCCUAAACUAGGUGAGCCUAUAGUUACCAUGACUAUGAAUUCAACCGAAAGAAAUUUUUUUAUUUCAUACAGGACACAAUCAAACCCGCGUUCGGACAUAGUACUUAUGUAUGACGAGUGUCACGUAAACGUACUCUUCGGGAAGUGUUCUUUUUUGAUAUGUAAGUGUAAAAAAAGACGCCUUUGAUAUAUAAAUGAAUAAUAAGUCUCGAGCGACAUAUUUUAGGCUCACCACGAGUUCUACAAUUAAUUGAUCGAAACACUUACCCCACCACUUUUUAUGACGAGUGAAAUAAACAAACCAGCGUUCGGAUAUAGUACAUGUGUAUGACGAGUUAAAUAAACUUGGAAGUCUUUUAUUUAGUUAAACGAGUUCGGAAAGACGACAACUAAGGUCAAGUAACCUCAUUGAAAUCAUAAAGAAGAGUAACGUAGUCAAUUGUACUUACGUUUUAUUUAAACAACAGAAUACGCUAGGGCAUAGUCCCUACUACGGUGAUUCAACAAUAUUAAUACGAACAUCAGGAACAGCCUCAAACCCAUGACGUGAAAUAUUACGUUUCCUUACCAUAUUUGAUAUCGACCAAGAAAGUACAUCAUACGGAAAAAGAUAUUACAUUCAAUACCUACGCCAUGAAGAAGCUUUGGAAGUAUUACGAAAAACAGUACGUUGUUGAACGAUUGUUCAGGACCAGACAACGUCAACUAACGUGUACACCUCCCGAAGACCUACGUAAAUAACAGAGUACAGUGUUCCUAAAUGUUGAAAAUGCUCUUACGCCCACAUCUCAUAACUAUUAAGGUCUACCGAGUGAAGGAUGUUAUCUCGUGGGAUGUCAUGAUAGUUAAUAAGUCAGUCUCUUGGUGUGAUACGACUUAUAUAACCACCUAGUCCAUGUAGCUAUUCGUGGGUUACAAGUCAGUCUACUUCUCUCACUUUUAUAUAACCACCUAGUCCAUGUAACUGUUCGUGGGUUACAAGUCAGUCUACUUCUCUCACUUUUGUCGCAAAUGAGACUUAAAAGUCUGUCUCACCGCUACGUCGACCUUCAAACUCCGUGACCUAAGGGGGACUGCCUCCUUGUUAGUUCAAUUUAAAUCUACGAAGUAAGAAACGACUCUGAACCUCCUCGAUAUAGCCCCGGUAGCGGC